AGAUUCUUCAGCCAUUUGCAUUGAUAGCCACUCCCCAGGCUGGAGUGCAGUGGCACAAUCUUGGCUCACAGGAACCUCCGCCUCCCAGGUUCAAGAGAUUCUCAUGCCUCAGCCUCGCGAGUAGCUGGAAUUACAGGUGAGCGCCCAUGCCCAGCUACUUUUUUUUUGUAUUUUUAGUAGAGACAGGGUUUCACCAUGUUGGCCAGGCUGGGCUCCAACUCCUGACCUCAAGUGAUCUGCCAGCCUCGGCUUUCCAAAGUGCUGGGAUUACAGGUGUGAGCCCAUGCACGCAGUGAAUUAGGCAUUUUAGGGAGAAUGGUAGGUCACUAGAAAUUUUGGGUUUCUGCACUAAGUGUUUCUGUUAUAAAAUUGAUAACUCACAAUCCAACUUAGUGGUGAAUAUGAUUUAGAAGAAUGUCUGGUUUUGGCUAAGAGAUGACUUUUCUUUUUUUUCCAGUUUGUAUCUGGCAUUAAUGAGGGAAGGUGCUGAUCAAUUUUUUUAUGUCCCUAAAAGAUGAGUCUUCUAUUCAGCAUUUCCCUAACUCAUACUUGUGCACAUCUCUCAGACCUACCAGAGUGGUGGUUCUCAAAUGUUGUGCACAAGAAUUACCCAAGAUGCUUUUUAAAGAGCAGAUUUCUGGGUUUAAUCCCUAGAAUUUCUGAAUC
This 666-nucleotide long non-coding RNA is filed under the name Pan troglodytes (chimpanzee). RNAcentral describes it as "lincRNA". The record is from RNAcentral. Lineage: Eukaryota; Metazoa; Chordata; Mammalia; Primates; Hominidae.